Micropterus dolomieu (smallmouth bass) is the source of this 2266-nucleotide long non-coding RNA. RefSeq lists it as uncharacterized. NCBI's taxonomy places the organism in Eukaryota, Metazoa, Chordata, Actinopteri, Centrarchiformes, Centrarchidae. The transcript is spliced from 3 exons. The record is from RefSeq and is a predicted model, not a curated record.
CUACGCAGAGGCUACGAUUUGACGCAGAAGUAUAAAUUGCACCCUGAGAAAGCCUGUGCGACUGUGUGAGGAUGAGGAGUGUGAAAGUGUAUCUCUAAAUCACCCUGUGGAUGAUGUACAAAAAAAAGUAAGCCACUGUCAAACAACAACAUUCCACCGAAACAACCAGGAAAUGCACGUUAAUGACAGGGAAAUGCUGCUGUCACUGCGAAUCUCUCAUAGGGGAAAAAUAUAGCGUCUGGCCGACAUUCGCAAGGAACUUCAAAAAGACCAUGGAAGAACAGAUGGCGAGACAACGGCGGAGGUUUAGGCGAGGGGGAGUGAGACGGAGGUUCCAAAAAAGAGGGAACAAGCCACCCUUGCCAGCGUUGAUCCUGUGUAACACACUCUCCCUGAGGAAUAAGAUGGACAAACUAAAACUUUACAAUAGAAUCUGGUAUGAGGCACAUUCUGACAUGAGCCUUGAGUUUUGUAAGACAGGGACUUUGUGGGACUUUGUGUUUAUAUCAAUAAUAAGUGGUGCAGGCAAUAUACCACACGUGAGACUAUCUCUAACCCAGAUGCUGAGCUAUUAUGCUUGAAUCUAAGACUGUUCUUCCUUCACUGGGAAUGGCAACAUUGUGAUUUGUGCUGUUUAUGAGCCCCCAAGUGGAAACACAGGCAGAUUUGAGCCAAAAUAAUCACAGCUUAUAACUUCUGUGUGGAUGCUGUGAUACCCCAAAAGACAAUAAAAGCGUAUCCCAAAAAAGGUCUACAUUACUAAGGAUGUCAAGCAUUGUAUCAAGCGCAAGAGGCUUGCCUUGCGGAAUAACGCCAUAUGCAAUUAAGAUUAGCACAGAGGGAGCCUAACCAGAACCAGAACCACAGCUAAAAGACAAUACAGAUAAUGUGCAGAUAAUGCAAAGAAAAUGUGGACCACCAUGACCUCCAUUACAAAUAUGAAUCCAACCAGGAAACCACUACACACAGCAGAUGAUAAUACUAUGGUAAAUGAUUUAAACAUCAUCUAAAUUAAGUUUGAUUCACAUGAUUUCUCUUUAGAAAGGGGAAAGUGUCAUUAACUCCAUACCAAUUGAUGACUGUGUUCCAAGGAUAGACAGCAGUUGAAGGGAAGUCACAAGACUUUUUGCCAAUAAGGCAACAGGACCUGAUGGUGACUCAGCUUUCCUUUUGUGCAGAGGAACUUACACCAGCCUGGGUCCCUGUCUUUCAAAGGUCUGUUGAUUCACACACAGCACACCAUCUCUCUAGAAGAUGGCAAUCAUUAAUCCUCUGCCAUUAUAUGAGGAACAGGUUGUUUUGGCAGAGUGAACCUGACAUUAUCUGAGCCUAAAGUCAUCAACACAGGUGUUCCUCAAGGAUGUGUGAGUUCUCGGAUUCUAUUUACAUUAUAUACAAAUGAGUGUACAAGCAGCCAUUUCUGGCUAUAGUUAUAGUGGUUAAAAAGUUUGUACAAUGGUGUGAUGACCAUCAUCUCAUUGUAAAUACUAAGAAAACAGAUCAAAUGAUUUUUGAUCCAGGACAUCUGGGGGACCAUUCUCUACUUCUGGUCCAAAACACUUGUAUUGCCCAGGUUCAUUUUUACAAACACUUGGGUGUACAUGUUGACUAUAAUCUGGCUUGGAAAGUCCAUGUGAAUUCAGUACUUCUUGAGAAGGUUCAGGGUGUUUGGGAUUGGAUGUUAUUUUAUCAUGGUGUGAUAGAGAGUGUAGUACAGAAUCGUAGCUUGGUUUGGUAACAUGUCAGUUAAGUUAAAAUCACAAAUAAAUAGACUGGUCUGCACAGUAAUUAAAGUGAUGGGGGUGAGGUAGCAUCCCCUCGCUCCGAAUGCUCCCAUGUUCUUUACUCAGUACGAACCGCUCCCAUCAGGUAGACGCUAUGGGCUUCCGAUUAAAUACAAGAAAAGCUACCUGAAUAUGGAUGAAAACUCUUUCAUCCCUUGAUCAGUGAAUCUCCUUAACUCGGGACGUAAGGAGGGUGUGAAAUGAGUGGCUGUGUUGUAUGUACUGAGUGUACUUAUGUCUGCACUUGAUUGUACUAUGUCUGUUACUGCACCAUCAUUGUAUGUAGUUGUUAUGUGGCAGCCUUUAUAUCCAAGACAAAUUUCCAUAGGAGCAUAUAAAGUAAUCUUGAAUCUUUUCUACUUUGUUUCUCUUAGACCCUUGGAUGCCUAGGCUCACAAGGUUUAUUUUAAUCCACCAACAUUGGCAACCACCUACCAUGUCUUUUGAAACUGGUUCUGUGAAUUUGAUGACCUCUUUUUAAA